UGGAUAAAUUCGAAAAUGGAUGCUGCUGUCCAGUUUUCCCAGCAGGUUACUUUCUCGAAAAGCAUACAGCUGCAGCAAGCGUUGGUGUCUCCAGUCAAGAAUGGUUCAGUUUCUCGGACUAAUGAAGAAUCUGACAAUGCUCUCAACAAUAUUCUUCUGUUAUACACUCAUUCUCUCUUGUUAUCUACAAAAUUAACUUCUGGUAGGCAUUCCUGCUGUAACAAAGGGUACACCAUCUCCGCCUCCUCAGUCAUCAACGCCAAUAUCGUUGGUGGCAUCUGAUGUUGUUAUGAUGUUCCGUGUCCCAAAACUUGUCUCAAUCGUCUCAGAACCUUUGCGUUCAUGGACUGCAUGUCUGCUCCGGCAUUGAGUUAAGAAAAUCCAUGGUGUGUGCACCUAUCUUGUGAUGUUGGCAGCAGAAAGGGUUGGUGUCUCUAGGCAAGAAUGUGAGUGAUGCUGCUGAAGCUUUAGCCUUCGAAAGGAGAUUUAAAGAGGCUGCACAUGUUCAAUGUCAGUGGAGUUUCAGUUGCGUGCUUGCAUGAAACUUUGACUUGACUCAACCUCACUCUUCAACCCUUUCAACA
Lolium rigidum is the source of this 584-nucleotide long non-coding RNA. RefSeq lists it as uncharacterized. The record is from RefSeq and is a predicted model, not a curated record. Lineage: Eukaryota; Viridiplantae; Streptophyta; Magnoliopsida; Poales; Poaceae. The transcript has 4 exons.